RNAcentral lists this ribosomal RNA (404 nucleotides) under uncultured bacterium. RNAcentral's name for it is "bacterial SSU rRNA". It matches the Rfam family "Bacterial small subunit ribosomal RNA", at positions 355 to 776 of the family's 1533-position model. The record is from RNAcentral.
UGGGGGAUAUUGCACAAUGGGGGAAACCCUGAUGCAGCGACGCCGCGUGAGUGAAGAAGUAUUUCGGUAUGUAAAGCUCUAUCAGCAGGGAAGAAGACGACAGUACCUGAGUAAGAAGCCCCGGCUAACUACGUGCCAGCAGCCGCGGUAAUACGUAGGGGGCAAGCGUUAUCCGGAUUUACUGGGUGUAAAGGGAGCGUAGACGGUUAUGUAAGUCUGGAGUGAAAGCCCGCGGCCCAACCGCGGGACUGCUCUGGAAACUGUGUAACUGGAGUACAGGAGGGGCAGGCGGAAUUCCUGGUGUAGCGGUGAAAUGCGUAGAUAUCAGGAGGAACACCGGCGGCGAAGGCGGCCUGCUGGACUGAGACUGACGUUGAGGCUCGAAAGCGUGGGGAGCAAACAGG